Molecule: microRNA, 20 nt
Filed under: Homo sapiens (human)
Lineage: Eukaryota; Metazoa; Chordata; Mammalia; Primates; Hominidae
Description: hsa-miR-6722-5p
Source: miRBase by way of RNAcentral
AGGCGCACCCGACCACAUGC